RNAcentral lists this ribosomal RNA (295 nucleotides) under uncultured Pseudomonas sp. RNAcentral's name for it is "partial 16S ribosomal RNA". It matches the Rfam family "Bacterial small subunit ribosomal RNA", at positions 1089 to 1382 of the family's 1533-position model. Lineage: Bacteria; Pseudomonadati; Pseudomonadota; Gammaproteobacteria; Pseudomonadales; Pseudomonadaceae. The record is from RNAcentral.
GUAACGAGCGCGAACCCUUGUCCUUAGUUACCAGCACGUUAUGGUGGGCACUCUAAGGAGACUGCCGGUGACAAACCGGAGGAAGGUGGGGAUGACGUCAAGUCAUCAUGGCCCUUACGGCCUGGGCUACACACGUGCUACAAUGGUCGGUACAAAGGGUUGCCAAGCCGCGAGGUGGAGCUAAUCCCAUAAAACCGAUCGUAGUCCGGAUCGCAGUCUGCAACUCGACUGCGUGAAGUCGGAAUCGCUAGUAAUCGUGAAUCAGAAUGUCACGGUGAAUACGUUCCCGGGCCUU